GCAGCAGCCGCGGUAACACGGAGGGUGCAAGCGUUAAUCGGAAUUACUGGGCGUAAAGCGCACGCAGGCGGUCUGACAAGUCAGAUGUGAAAUCCCCGGGCUUAACCUGGGAACUGCAUUUGAAACUGUCAGGCUGGAGUCUUGUAGAGGGGGGUGGAAUUCCAGGUGUAGCGGUGAAAUGCGUAGAGAUCUGGAGGAAUACCGGUGGCGAAGGCGGCCCCCUGGACAAAGACUGACGCUCAGGUGCGAAAGCGUGGGGAGCAAACAGGAUUAGAUACCCCUGUAGUCCCUGUCUCUUAUAC
RNAcentral lists this ribosomal RNA (302 nucleotides) under uncultured bacterium. RNAcentral describes it as "partial 16S ribosomal RNA". It matches the Rfam family "Bacterial small subunit ribosomal RNA", at positions 508 to 807 of the family's 1533-position model. The record is from RNAcentral.